CCUACGGGUGGCAGCAGUGGGGGAUAUUGCACAAUGGGGGGAACCCUGAUGCAGCGACGCCGCGUGGGUGAAGAAGUGCCUCGGCGUGUAAAGCUCUGUCAGCAGGGAAGAAAAUGACGGUACCUGAAUAAGAAGCCCCGGCUAACUACGUGCCAGCAGCCGCGGUAAUACGUAGGGGGCGAGCGUUAUCCGGAUUUACUGGGUGUAAAGGGCGCGUAGACGGGUAUGCAAGGCUGGAGUGAAAGCCCGGGGCUCAACCCCGGAACUGCUUUGGGAACUGGGGAACUGGAGUGCGGGAGGGGCAGGCGGAAUUCCUGGUGUAGCGGUGAAAUGCGUAGAUAUAAGGAGGAACACCAGUGGCGAAGGCGGCCUGCUGGACUGCAACUGACGUUGAGGCCCGAAAGCGUGGGGAGCAAACAGGAUUAGAUACCCGAGUAGUC
RNAcentral lists this ribosomal RNA (440 nucleotides) under uncultured bacterium. Its description in RNAcentral is "partial 16S ribosomal RNA". It matches the Rfam family "Bacterial small subunit ribosomal RNA", at positions 338 to 795 of the family's 1533-position model. The record is from RNAcentral.